Molecule: ribosomal RNA, 465 nt
Filed under: uncultured bacterium
Lineage: Bacteria
Description: partial 16S ribosomal RNA
Rfam family: Bacterial small subunit ribosomal RNA
Source: RNAcentral
GACGAACGCUGGCGGCGUGCUUAACACAUGCAAGUCGAACGGAAAGGCCCUGCUUGCAGGGUACUCGAGUGGCGAACGGGUGAGUAACACGUGGGUGAUCUGCCCUGCACUUCGGGAUAAGCCUGGGAAACUGGGUCUAAUACCGGAUAGGAGCCAUUUUUAGUGUGAUGGUUGGAAAGUUUUUUCGGUGUAGGAUGAGCUCGCGGCCUAUCAGCUUGUUGGUGGGGUAAUGGCCUACCAAGGCGGCGACGGGUAGCCGGCCUGAGAGGGUGGACGGCCACAUUGGGACUGAGAUACGGCCCAGACGCCUACGGGAGGCAGCAGGGGGGAAUAUUGCACAAGGGGCGCAAGCCUGAUGCAGCGACGCCGCGUGGGGGAGGACGGCCUUCGGGUUGUAAACUCCUUUCGCUAGGGACGAAGCUUUUUGUGACGGUACCUAGAGAAGAAGCACCGGCUAACUACGUG